AGCUUUGCACAGUGGCUGUAUAAUAAUCACUGAGGUUUAGCUGAGGCACAAUUAUUGCUAAUUAAAAACUGUUCCCAAUACCCCAUUGUGACCACUUGCAAUAUAGUCGGCAUUGGAGAUUUUUGACAGUCCCUAUGGAGA
This is a small nuclear RNA of Sciurus vulgaris (Eurasian red squirrel), 141 nucleotides long. Its record names the gene U4. It matches the Rfam family "U4 spliceosomal RNA". From Rfam's summary of the family: U4 small nuclear RNA (U4 snRNA) is a component of the major U2-dependent spliceosome. The structure of U4 snRNA from yeast and human has been reported. Lineage: Eukaryota; Metazoa; Chordata; Mammalia; Rodentia; Sciuridae. The record is from Ensembl.